CGCGAUUUUUUCCUUAAGAGGAUACCAUUUCCCUCUAGUCUAGAGUAUUUGAGGAAAUCAGACUCUCCCUGGCCAGUACCUCCAUAGUUAUCUUCUGAGCUUACGGUCAGCAAUCUGGAAGUUUACCCUCUAGGAAGGCAGCCACCUCCACAGGGAAAAUGAGACACCUUCAAGAUUAAAACAACUAGAAAAGGGAGGGCAAAAAUCAGAUACUGUCCUCUCUGCCAUCCCCUCAUACCUUGAGGAGUUCAAAGGUUUUUCCAAGCCUGCGGCACUUGACAAUUACAAUUACACAGUAAAAUACCUAAGGUUAAUGAAUAACCUCUAAAGGAAGUUACUUCACAUAAUGACAGCAAUUUCUCUGAACUAAAUGUUAAUAAUAAGGCCUGUAAUACUGUGAGAAGGAAAUGGUGGCAAUUGGCAAAUGGGACUCUGUUGCUUGGUAACAAGACCUGAGGCUGUCCACAGGUGGAUUCUGAAGGGUGUUCCCAUUCCAGUGCCUUCCCAGCCCAAAGCAUGGAUGAUUUUCCAGGGACUCCAAGAUUUUCACAAAGAACAGCAACUGCAGUGGGAGUGGAGCACCCAGGCGGUCUGCAGCGGUGUCCAUCCAUGUGACUAUUUCCUGCGCCAGCACAGUGCCAUAGGUGGGAAGGCAAAAACUCUCAUUAAACAGCUAUAACUAAAGAGAAUCAAAUUCACACAAUUCACAAUCAGAACUAUACAUUAAGUGAGCCAUCAAAGCUGAAAGCACUGGAAGAGAAAAAUUCAUCACAAAGGAAGUACUAUCUUUUAAAAAUUAGAUUUAUCUAUGUAUCUAAUCUGAAGUCUAUUACCUCCCAGCAUCUGCUCCAUGGUUUCGUCAUGAAUCCUUGGCUGGCUCAAAAGCCUCAAAUUGGUAACAAUCCAAAUCCAUUAACAGUAGAAUGGAUUAAAAUUUAUGGCAUAUUUAUACUGUGGAAUAUUAUGCAACUACUGACAAUAAAACAGAUGAAUCUUACGUAAUGUUGAGCA
RNAcentral lists this long non-coding RNA (1011 nucleotides) under Bos indicus x Bos taurus (hybrid cattle). RNAcentral describes it as "lncRNA (ENSBIXG00000007270.1)". The record is from RNAcentral. Lineage: Eukaryota; Metazoa; Chordata; Mammalia; Artiodactyla; Bovidae.